AAACUAACAAGGAUUCCCCUAGUAACUGCGAGUGAAGCGGGAAAAGCUCAAAUUUAAAAUCUGGCGGUCUUUGGCCGUCCGAGUUGUAAUCUAGAGAAGUGUUACCCGCGUCGGACCGUGUACAAGUCUCCUGGAAUGGAGCGUCAUAGAGGGUGAGAAUCCCGUCUUUGACACGGACUACCGAGGCUUUGUGGUGCGCUCUCAAAGAGUCGAGUUGUUUGGGAAUGCAGCUCAAAAUGGGUGGUAAAUUCCAUCUAAAGCUAAAUAUUGGCGAGAGACCGAUAGCGAACAAGUACCGUGAGGGAAAGAUGAAAAGAACUUUGGAAAGAGAGUUAAACAGUACGUGAAAUUGCUGAAAGGGAAACGCUUGAAGUCAGUCGCGUUGUCCGGGAAUCAGCCUUCCUUCUGGUUGGUGUACUUCCUGGUUGACGGGCCAGCAUCAGUUUUGACCGGUGGAAAAAGUUCAAGGGAAUGUGGCACCUCCGGGUGUGUUAUAGCCCUUGUUCGUAUACAUCGGUUGGGACUGAGGAACUCAGCACGCCGCAAGGCCGGGAUUCGUCCACGUUCGUGCUUAGGAUGCUGGCAUAAUGGCUUUAAUCGAC
RNAcentral lists this ribosomal RNA (602 nucleotides) under Coprinellus sp. CBM-FB-33076. RNAcentral's name for it is "eukaryotic LSU rRNA". It matches the Rfam family "Eukaryotic large subunit ribosomal RNA", at positions 62 to 648 of the family's 3401-position model. Lineage: Eukaryota; Fungi; Basidiomycota; Agaricomycetes; Agaricales; Psathyrellaceae. The record is from RNAcentral.